Molecule: ribosomal RNA, 497 nt
Filed under: uncultured bacterium
Lineage: Bacteria
Description: partial 16S ribosomal RNA
Rfam family: Bacterial small subunit ribosomal RNA
Source: RNAcentral
GAUGAACGCUGGCGGCGUGCCUAAUACAUGCAAGUCGAGCGAACAGAUGAGGAGCUUGCUCCUCUGACGUUAGCGGCGGACGGGUGAGUAACACGUGGAUAACCUACCUAUAAGACUGGGAUAACUUCGGGAAACCGGAGCUAAUACCGGAUAAUAUAUUGAACCGCAUGGUUCAAUAGUGAAAGACGGUUUUGCUGUCACUUAUAGAUGGAUCCGCGCCGCAUUAGCUAGUUGGUAAGGUAACGGCUUACCAAGGCAACGAUGCGUAGCCGACCUGAGAGGGUGAUCGGCCACACUGGAACUGAGACACGGUCCAGACUCCUACGGGAGGCAGCAGUAGGGAAUCUUCCGCAAUGGGCGAAAGCCUGACGGAGCAACGCCGCGUGAGUGAUGAAGGUCUUCGGAUCGUAAAACUCUGUUAUUAGGGAAGAACAAAUGUGUAAGUAACUAUGCACGUCUUGAAGGUACCUAAUCAGAAAGCCACGGCUAACUACGUG